This is a long non-coding RNA of Pomacea canaliculata, 1299 nucleotides long. RefSeq lists it as uncharacterized. The record is from RefSeq and is a predicted model, not a curated record. Lineage: Eukaryota; Metazoa; Mollusca; Gastropoda; Architaenioglossa; Ampullariidae. The transcript is spliced from 3 exons.
GAAAAUUUACACCAGUGGAAUUCAUACAGCGACCCAAGAUGUGUAUUUGAAGCAACUCUUGUGAGCCACUAGGAGACCCGCCAUCCCCGAGGACCAUUUACGUCCUCAAGCGCCAUCAGCAACAACUCCAGCAUCAGCAGGGAGAAGACUUUCCGUGACGCAAAUACCAGUAAAUGUACUGCGGUCACCCCGAAUGAUGUAGCACCAGUAGUCAUCACUUUUCAUCGACGCAGAACGGACACCCAGACAAAUCCUCUUACCUGCCUCCUCACAUCUCCACGACACUAACCGAUAUCCCCAUCCAUCGACUGCCGCAAUUUGCUGCGGUAGGCGACUGAGAUAAUAAGGCUACACCCAACGUUCUCAUCGUCAGCUUCUCUUGUGUCACAGUAAACCUACAGACACGCACAUGUCACUGUCACAUACCUGUCACAGACAGAUCUGCCACAAGACAAAUGAUGACGUCAUCAGGACAUCCUUUGACGCUUGUCGGUUGUCGAACAUCUACCCUUGUCGCAGUCCUCUCGUCAACUCUGCCCCUGUCGUCAGUGCUGCGAACCAUCGAGUCGACCGUCGACAGUCACUUCAAGCAGACGUACGGCAAACGACCGCCUGCCACAGUGACGUCACCAUCGACCUUUACACCUGACGACCUCUGCGCGGAAAUCCCGCUCGUGCUUAGGGUAUCCGCGAAUAGGUUCACGUGCGUGUAUGCGAGUCUCUACAUCUGCCCUGCCCCACCACCAGGACACAAUGUAACACCCACAUGGACUCGGGGCAGACGACAGGCCCUAUAUAGUCGGGCUGAUAGAUGUUUGUGAGGGUCAAAUGACUCGUCCAUGAUGACAAAUUGCAAGUUUGUGAGUUACAAACGAUAGGUUCCAGCGGUGACAGUCGCAAUAGAUGAUGAAUGGACAGUCACACUCAUGAUAAACUGCGAAGGUCCAGUGUGGCUAAUGACAGAUGCUAGUGUUGACAAACAACUGUCAGUGAUUUCUAGUGUCAAGGAGAAAGAUGUCCCUAGUCCACACUACCUUCUGAUGUUGAACUCCUGCCCUCAGCUGACCUCAGCCUGCAGACAGCACCGUGUAGAGUAGACGCCAAGAUAGAGUUUUUCAAGACAGUGACUAGAGUUAGAGAGUUUAGACAACGGACAAUGCACACGUACAUCAAUGGACUUUUACAGUUUACAUUAGAAGAAUGCUGACGAAUCCUAAAAGACAUCCCUUCGUUAUCAAGUUGCGAUAACUCCUGGCAGACAAAACGCUGCCAUAGCUACAAAUACCUAGCCUGACUCAC